Molecule: non-coding RNA, 236 nt
Organism: Cinara cedri
Lineage: Eukaryota; Metazoa; Arthropoda; Insecta; Hemiptera; Aphididae
Source: the annotation of a GenBank genome assembly
CACCAGAGCCGCUAACUUCAAGUUCUUGUACGAGGCCCAUAUUCAAAAUCGUCUAAAUACCUAUACCAAUAACAACAUGUCUCGAUGUGUGUGUCGUACGUAGGUCUUGAAAGAUACACACGCCAAUAAAUAGGUAAAACGACCGACAUUAUGUGUAUACGGGCAACCUCCGGCCAGCAUCCAGGACCGCCACGGGUACACCGACAGGAUCGCGGAGGGGCGCAGCUCGCUCGUUG